This 77-nucleotide transfer RNA is filed under the name Vibrio vulnificus. RNAcentral describes it as "tRNA-Arg". It matches the Rfam family "tRNA". Rfam says of the family: Transfer RNA (tRNA) molecules are approximately 80 nucleotides in length. Lineage: Bacteria; Pseudomonadati; Pseudomonadota; Gammaproteobacteria; Vibrionales; Vibrionaceae. The record is from RNAcentral.
GCGCUCGUAGCUCAGCUGGAUAGCGUACCUGGCUACGAACCAGGCGGUCAGAGGUUCGAAUCCUCUCGAGCGCGCCA